This 430-nucleotide ribosomal RNA is filed under the name Pseudomonadota bacterium. RNAcentral describes it as "Proteobacteria bacterium partial 16S ribosomal RNA". It matches the Rfam family "Bacterial small subunit ribosomal RNA", at positions 355 to 776 of the family's 1533-position model. Lineage: Bacteria; Pseudomonadati; Pseudomonadota. The record is from RNAcentral.
UGGUGAAUAUUGGACAAUGGGGGGAACCCUGAUCCAGCCAUGCCGCGUGUGUGAAGAAGGCCUUAUGGUUGUCAAGCACUUUAAGCGAGGAGGAGGGUACUGGUAUUAAUACUACCAGGUACUGGACGUUACUCGCAGAAUAAGCACCGGCUAACUCUGUGCCAGCAGCCGCGGUAAUACAGAGGGUGCGAGCGUUAAUCGGAUUUACUGGGCGUAAAGCGUGCGUAGGCGGCUAAUUGAGUCGGAUGUGAAAUCCCCGAGCUUAACUUGGGAAUUGCAUUCGAUACUGGUUAGCUAGAGUGUGGGAGAGGAUGGUAGAAUUCCAGGUGUAGCGGUGAAAUGCGUAGAGAUCUGGAGGAAUACCGAUGGCGAAGGCAGCCAUCUGGCCUAACACUGACGCUGAGGUACGAAAGCAUGGGGAGCAAACAGG